CCUACGGGAGGCAGCAGUGAGGAAUAUUGGUCAAUGGCCGGAAGUCUGAACCAGCCAUGCCGCGUGCAGGUCAGUGCCCUAUUGGUUGUAAACUUCUUUUAUAAAGGAGUAAAACGACGCACGUUUGCCUUUUUUCAUGUACUUUAUGAAUAAGGAUCGGCUAACUCCGUUCCAGCAGCCGCGGUAAUACGGAGGAUUCGAGCGUUAUCCGGAUUUAUUGGGUUUAAAGGGAGCGUAGAUGGGUUGUUAAGUCAGUUGUGAAAGUUUGGGGCUCAACCGUAAAAUUGCAAUUGAUACUGGCAGUCUUGAGUACAGUUGAGGUAGGCGGAAUUCGUGGUGUAGCGGUGAAAUGCUUAGAUAUCACGCAGAACCCCGAUUGCGAAGGCAGCUUACCAAACUGUGACUGACAUUGAUGCUCGAAAGCGUGGGGAGCAAACAGGAUUAGAUACCCCUGUAGUC
RNAcentral lists this ribosomal RNA (459 nucleotides) under uncultured bacterium. RNAcentral's name for it is "partial 16S ribosomal RNA". It matches the Rfam family "Bacterial small subunit ribosomal RNA", at positions 338 to 795 of the family's 1533-position model. The record is from RNAcentral.